AUUGAACGCUGGCGGCAGGCCUAACACAUGCAAGUCGAGCGGAUGAAGGGAGCUUGCUCCUGGAUUCAGCGGCGGACGGGUGAGUAUUGCCUAGGAAUCUGCCUGGUAGUGGGGGAUAACGUCCGGAAACGGGCGCUAAUACCGCAUACGUCCUGAGGGAGAAAGUGGGGGAUCUUCGGACCUCACGCUAUCAGAUGAGCCUAGGUCGGAUUAGCUAGUUGGUGGGGUAAAGGCCUACCAAGGCGACGAUCCGUAACUGGUCUGAGAGGAUGAUCAGUCACACUGGAACUGAGACACGGUCCAGACUCCUACGGGAGGCAGCAGUGGGGAAUAUUGGACAAUGGGCGAAAGCCUGAUCCAGCCAUGCCGCGUGUGUGAAGAAGGUCUUCGGAUUGUAAAGCACUUUAAGUGGGGAGGAAGGGCAGUAAGUUAAUACCUUGCUGUUUUGACGGUACCAACAGAAUAAGCACCGGCUAACUUCGUG
Molecule: ribosomal RNA, 484 nt
Filed under: uncultured bacterium
Lineage: Bacteria
Description: partial 16S ribosomal RNA
Rfam family: Bacterial small subunit ribosomal RNA
Source: RNAcentral